Molecule: RNA transcript, 3222 nt
Organism: Gadus chalcogrammus (walleye pollock)
Lineage: Eukaryota; Metazoa; Chordata; Actinopteri; Gadiformes; Gadidae
Exons: 16
Source: RefSeq, a predicted model, not a curated record
CACUCCAAUAAAAACCAGCCCAAACCACGAAGUUGACACCCGUGUAAACCCGUAAAAUCAUAACACAUACAAUAGAAAACACAUCCAGAGCUUCAUAUCUGCAUCAAAUAACCACAUAUAAAUGAUAGAUAAAUAGGUUUUUGCAAAUUGCAACACAGUAGAAAAUGGAGUGCCAUUAUUGCAGAGUAAACCUAUUUUCCUCUGGAUAGAGUAGUUAUAACAAUGUACAGAGUAGUAAAAUCGUCUAAAUAGUAGUGUCAAAAGUGAGAGUUAAGUCCAACAUGCACACAAUGACCAAAUCUACUCUACAUGGUGAUGAUUCCCCGCGAAAGUAGUACUAGAACUGAACUGGAGCUCGAGCUGGCAGUGGCACGUUGGAAAUCGUCUCUCUCCCCAGUCCCCACUAGCAGACCUAUCGUGAAAAUGCUGCUGCGUGUCUCGUUUGGCGUUGUGCAGGAGUACAUGAAGCUGCCUGAACUAACAUUCAGUGAUUUCUUGAGAGAAGUGAGUCUAAAAUUUAACAUUGCUGAAGACAGACGGUUGGACAUCAAGAUUUAUGACCAGUCUAACACAGAGGUCGACUCUGAGGUUUUUGAGGAGAUCGUACAAGAGUUCCAUGGACCUUUCCUAAUUUCAUUGGCCAAUGAAGCACCUGGUUACCCUCAGUCCACGUCAUCUCCAUGCUCUAUUGCAUCUGAAGACACAGUGAUCCUCAACUUCUCGUUGUGUGACCCAGCUGAGGAGCCAGUUGCAGCCGAAGGAAGUCAACCUAAAAGGCCUUGCCGCAUUAACUAUGAAGCAAAAGCUCUGAUUGAAAAAAUCUUGACGACAAAGCCUGGAGGUGACCGUGUCAUGGAGGAGUAUGCGAAAACGAAAUCAAUUACAGAUUCAACCAGAAGACAGCUCAUCAACAUACUUACUGCAGAGAUGACGGAAACACAUGGGACAUCGCCGCCCCGGAGUGUAAAAGUGAUGUAUGCACAGGGGAUUGUCGCUCUGUUACCAUACCUUGAAGACCCAUAUUCACAGAAUGGCUAUGAACAUUACUACGAUCCUGAAAGUGGUUCAGGCUACAUUGCAUGGCGGUUGAAGACAAUUCAACGAAAAGCUGCUGAGGAAAGAGGUCCUGCAGUUAGUACAUCUCCUAAAGUUGGUGGGCCAGGCCAUGGGCGUACUAGACCCUUUACUGCCGACAGAGUCCUGACUGACGAGGAAGUGGAAUGCGCUAUCGCUUUGUUGAGACACACUGCUGAUGAGGAGACCAUCCGUGAAAAGAUGAAAGUCACUUUCGCAUACCGCCACGCCAUGGUCAAUGAUGAGAACAAAUCAGCAGAGGUCUUCUCAGUAUUUCCACGGUUCCUAGACACACCAGGACUGAUAGAACAAGAUUUUAGAGUGAUGUUUGGUGAGCAGACUGCCAACAAGUUCAUGGAGAGGUGGCCUACCACUUUCAAAGCAGGAGUCAUUAAGGAAAGCCAUGGACUGGUCCCCUCCACAGACCUUCUUGAUUUAAUGCGCAAUGCUGAGACAUCUACUGAAGUUGAAAAAGGCUGGGACAGUGACAUGUCUGCCAUCAUACUGCUGCUACAUCUGCUACCACCAUCUGCACAGGGACGAAAGUGGCCAGGGAAGAUAUCAGCAUCUAAUGCAGUUGAUCACCUCAUCAAAUUCCAAAAGACGGGAACAAGCGUGCAGCAGCAUCUUGACAACAUCGCUCAAAGCAUUCAGCCCUACCUCCUUGCUCAGGGACCCACAAAAAGCAGCAUUCACUCUUUCUUCAUUGCCAUCGACAAGCAUGCACUUCCAUGCCAAGCCACCAGCUCGGUUGGAGCCCUGGAUGAGCUCUUCAAGGCCCACUAUGUGUUUGGUACAUCUUACAGUCCUGCCUCAAACAACUUUUUCACUUUUCUGCAAACUUCCAUUUACAACAUUGACGUGGGGAAAACUAAGGAAACGCCAAGAAUUGCAGAGUUGCGAGCGAGAAUGGUGCGUUAGGCACUCUUGAAAUUAAACAAUGAGGUGCUUUCUUUGCAGCAAACAAUCUAGUAAAGCACCUCAAAGUAAUACAUGGACUCUGUACGGUAAGGACUCUUUAUGUUCAAUGUGGCCAAGUGGGAUGCUCACGUUUUUUCAAUAGUUUUUCAGAGGGGUGUUCCACGAACGGAGGUUAAACAAACACUGAGUUAACGCUGAACUCUAGGUUGAUUGACCCUGUGCCGACCAACCCAGAGUUUUCGGUUCCACAGCAGCGGUUAUGCAUUAGUUCAAUCAACUCGCGGUUGGUUAACCCAGGGUUGUGCGCGUCCACGCCAAACCUAUAAAGACGUGAUGUAUGGAUCAUGGAAUUACCGAUCAAUAUGGCGAAACGGGCCGCAUAUUUCUCAGAUCUCGACCUCCAGGUUCUCCUGGAGAGUUACGAUGAGGAAAAGGGAGUGAUAAUGAGGAAAUGCAACACUAAAGCAUCUGCCAUAAUGAGAAAUAAAGCCUGGCAGAGGAUAGCUGACCGCGUAAAUUCGUAAGUGUCAUGGUAAAAGCACUAUCCUAAAUAUUUGAACUGAAUCCAUUCAUUACCUAUCUCAGUUAAGCUUUCUUAACAUUCCAUAAUCUGUUAUCUAUAAAGAUGUAAUCCGACGGCCCCCAAACGAACUCGGGAACAAGUAAAAAUGAAAUACAAAAACGUUAUACAAGCUGCCAAUCGUAAGAGGGCCGACAGUCGGCAGACUGGAUCGGGCCCUCCAAUUACCUUCACCACGGUUGAGGAGCUGGCUCUAACCAUUAAUGCAGGGCGCCCUGGCAUGGAGGGGAUACCUGGAGGUACCUCCUCCGAGAGUCCGGGGCCAUCUCCGUCCACUGUCAACCCACUGGUUGAAUAUCAAGACGGAGUAUUGCUUUUAAUCGAGCCGGCUACGAAUCCUCCAGUUUAUGAGGCCGAUGAAAAUAUUGCCAUGGAUGGGUCUGAAAGAACUGAGACUGUGGUCGAGGAAGCGGCGGGUACAUCAGGGUCGCAAUAUCAGCAUGUAAGACAUAUCCUAGGCUACUCACUUAAUUUAUUGGCCAAGUAUGUCGCUUGAAUGUUAAAACAAUAUUUUCCUCUAUUUCAGUUGACUACUAAAGAAUUAUAUCGACUUCAUCUUCAGCGGGAAAUCGCUAAGGCUGAUUUGCAAAUGGAGUACACGAAGCUGCUGAUGGAGCAACUAAAGAAUAAAAAUGAUUGAUAAAAAC